GACAGAGGGGGCAAGCGUUGCUCGGAAUCACUGGGCGUAAAGGGCGCGUAGGCGGGAUGGCAAGUCAGUCGUGAAAUUCCCGGGCUCAACCUGGGGGCUGCGCUUGAUACUGAUGAGCUUGAAUGCGGGAGAGGAUAGUGGAAUUCCCAGUGUAGAGGUGAAAUUCGUAGAUAUUGGGAAGAACACCGGUGGCGAAGGCGGCUAUCUGGCCCGUAAUUGACGCUGAGGCGCGAAAGCGUGGGGAGCAAACAGG
RNAcentral lists this ribosomal RNA (253 nucleotides) under uncultured bacterium. Its description in RNAcentral is "partial 16S ribosomal RNA". It matches the Rfam family "Bacterial small subunit ribosomal RNA", at positions 524 to 776 of the family's 1533-position model. The record is from RNAcentral.